Molecule: ribosomal RNA, 1784 nt
Filed under: Salmonella enterica
Lineage: Bacteria; Pseudomonadati; Pseudomonadota; Gammaproteobacteria; Enterobacterales; Enterobacteriaceae
Also listed under: 1 other name
Description: partial 23S ribosomal RNA
Rfam family: Bacterial large subunit ribosomal RNA
Source: RNAcentral
CCAGCUAAGGUCCCAAAGUCAUGGUUAAGUGGGAAACGAUGUGGGAAGGCCCAGACAGCCAGGAUGUUGGCUUAGAAGCAGCCAUCAUUUAAAGAAAGCGUAAUAGCUCACUGGUCGAGUCGGCCUGCGCGGAAGAUGUAACGGGGCUAAACCAUGCACCGAAGCUGCGGCAGCGACACUGUGUGUUGUUGGGUAGGGGAGCGUUCUGUAAGCCUGUGAAGGUGUGUCGUGAGGCAUGCUGGAGGUAUCAGAAGUGCGAAUGCUGACAUAAGUAACGAUAAAGCGGGUGAAAAGCCCGCUCGCCGGAAGACCAAGGGUUCCUGUCCAACGUUAAUCGGGGCAGGGUGAGUCGACCCCUAAGGCGAGGCCGAAAGGCGUAGUCGAUGGGAAACGGGUUAAUAUUCCCGUACUUGGUGUUACUGCGAAGGGGGGACGGAGAAGGCUAUGUUGGCCGGGCGACGGUUGUCCCGGUUUAAGCGUGUAGGUGUGUGUUCCAGGUAAAUCCGGUUCACUUUAACACUGAGGCGUGACGACGAGGCACUACGGUGCUGAAGCAACAAAUGCCCUGCUUCCAGGAAAAGCCUCUAAGCAUCAGGUAACAUCAAAUCGUACCCCAAACCGACACAGGUGGUCAGGUAGAGAAUACCAAGGCGCUUGAGAGAACUCGGGUGAAGGAACUAGGCAAAAUGGUGCCGUAACUUCGGGAGAAGGCACGCUGACACGUAGGUGAAGUGAUUUACUCAUGGAGCUGAAGUCAGUCGAAGAUACCAGCUGGCUGCAACUGUUUAUUAAAAACACAGCACUGUGCAAACACGAAAGUGGACGUAUACGGUGUGACGCCUGCCCGGUGCCGGAAGGUUAAUUGAUGGGGUCAGCGCAAGCGAAGCUCCUGAUCGAAGCCCCGGUAAACGGCGGCCGUAACUAUAACGGUCCUAAGGUAGCGAAAUUCCUUGUCGGGUAAGUUCCGACCUGCACGAAUGGCGUAAUGAUGGCCAGGCUGUCUCCACCCGAGACUCAGUGAAAUUGAACUCGCUGUGAAGAUGCAGUGUACCCGCGGCAAGACGGAAAGACCCCGUGAACCUUUACUAUAGCUUGACACUGAACAUUGAGCCUUGAUGUGUAGGAUAGGUGGGAGGCUUUGAAGUGUGGACGCCAGUCUGCAUGGAGCCGACCUUGAAAUACCACCCUUUAAUGUUUGAUGUUCUAACGUGGACCCGUUACCCGGGUUGCGGACAGUGUCUGGUGGGUAGUUUGACUGGGGCGGUCUCCUCCUAAAGAGUAACGGAGGAGCACGAAGGUUGGCUAAUCCUGGUCGGACAUCAGGAGGUUAGUGCAAUGGCAUAAGCCAGCUUGACUGCGAGCGUGACGGCGCGAGCAGGUGCGAAAGCAGGUCAUAGUGAUCCGGUGGUUCUGAAUGGAAGGGCCAUCGCUCAACGGAUAAAAGGUACUCCGGGGAUAACAGGCUGAUACCGCCCAAGAGUUCAUAUCGACGGCGGUGUUUGGCACCUCGAUGUCGGCUCAUCACAUCCUGGGGCUGAAGUAGGUCCCAAGGGUAUGGCUGUUCGCCAUUUAAAGUGGUACGCGAGCUGGGUUUAGAACGUCGUGAGACAGUUCGGUCCCUAUCUGCCGUGGGCGCUGGAGAACUGAGGGGGGCUGCUCCUAGUACGAGAGGACCGGAGUGGACGCAUCACUGGUGUUCGGGUUGUCAUGCCAAUGGCACUGCCCGGUAGCUAAAUGCGGAAGAGAUAAGUGCUGAAAGCAUCUAAGCACGAAACUUGCCCCGA